CGAGAAGUUAAGUCAAAGAUGGACCGUGUAUUACUUAGUUUAGAUUGUGGGUGCAAAUCUUCGGUGCUGCGGAUAUGUGUAAAGUUAUUUGUUUUUAUAUUAACUGUAGAUUGUGUAAUAGCAAGGCCCGUUGAUAGUACCCCAAUUUCGCAAAGUGCAAUAUAUGUUGUAUUAUUGUCUACAAUUUCUCUUGUGGCACUAUUUGGGGUCGGAUGUAUAUAUUGUGUGAGCUGUAAAGAGUCAUCAAAUGGCGGAAAACCAGACACACAACAACCAACGGUUAUAAAAAAUACCAAACGCAGUAGUGUCGUUAGCGUUGGUAUGGGUAAUAGUAAUACAGUGUUUAACAAUCGAUCAAACUCACUGACGCCCGUUGACAGCCCUACUACCGAUGGUACCAUAGUUCAUAUAGCUAAAUCUAAAAGAAUCAGCAGAGAAUCAUAUAAAAGGGGAAAUGAAGAUAACAAAAGACCGUCAACAAUACCUGAAAAUAAUGAUUAUCUACCAUGAUAGAAUUAUCUCCCUUGGGUAACUCUGCAAGGGCUUGUGCAACACUCAACACUUGGCCACAGUACACCUUGGAUGUUUCCGUUGAUUCUAAUGUUACUUCUCAUCUCUUUCGUUGGUUCUAACUCUUCCCCAAAUUUUCAUUUGGUUGAACGCUUUCUAUCACAGAUGGGACAACACGUGGCAACUUCAGUCAAGCUUGUGUGUGGAAACCGUGAAAUGGGAUAUUCAAACUGGAAGAGCAUACUAGUAAACACGGCAUUAUUCACCCUAAUGUAGCCAACCUCUUAACUUUGUUAUCAUCCUGACUCAAAAUCACGAAUAUUCACCCAAACUUUGCAGACAUUAUAUUUGCAAACCCCUUUCUUCGAUUCUGCACCAAAGAGUCAGCACAGAUCUCCAUGGAAAAAGAGGAAAAAGAAAAGGGAGAGAAAGAUUUGAAAUAGAAGGGAUGUAGGAAUUCUUUUGUGUCCUGUGUUCCUAUCCCAGUCAGCCACUAUACCAUUACAGUUUAUGCACAAUUUGAUCUAUUUUUAAAAGCAUUCAUUUACGUAUUUAAACCUAUAUUGUAUAUACUAUUUCGAUAAAAUUGUAUUGUCUGUAACAAUAUGCAUGGAAGGGGACCUCUUUAGGUUACUGAGACUUGUGCCGGAUUCAUGAAACCCUACUAUAUACAAAAACUUACAGAUGCUUUAUGUAAGAGCUAAACAUGCCUAUUACAGGUCUUUCUUGUAGCUUUAAAUGUUAUAUAAAUUAUUCUUUAGACAUUUAUUAACACAAUAAGUCUAUAAUCAACCAUCUUAAACAUCAGGUGGCCGAGAUUAAAAUGGCGGGAUUUUAAAAUUUAACGAUAAAGUGGAUAAUCGAGACUUAUUUUCGGUUGUCAAGUACCGUUGCUACGAUGAUAGGCGAUCUAUGCUACAUCUUCAAACACGCAUUCAACUUCGAUCAGAAUAAAGUAAUAUGAAUGAAAUUUUCAAUAUAUUCAUUUUUCAUUAUCUAUUUUUCGACUAGUAUAGCAAGAACGGUCAGCUCUUUAUCUAAUUUUUUUUUAUUUUAUUAUUAUUAUUAUUAUUGUUUGAUUUAUAUAGCGCUUCAUUACAAAUGAGUGUUUCUAAGCGCAUUCACAACAAAACAGUUCAAAAGCAUUUUUGAAAUAAGUAUGUUUUUAAGUUAGUCUUAAAGCUCUGGAUGGAAGAGGACUCUCUAAGAGUUUCUGGAAGAUCAUUCCAUAUUUUAGCUGCUCUGAGGGAGAAAGGAUAUUCACCAGAACGCUUAUUAUAUUUGGGGAUCCUCAAUAUGCUACGAUCACUUGAAGAACGAAGGUUGGAUCGCCUGGGAGUAUAGAAAUCAAAGAGUUCUUUUAAAUAACUGGGUGCGGUGUCAGAAUAAAUUGAUUUAAACACAUUCACAAGAGCUUUAAAUUGAACCAUCGCUCGAACUGGAAGCCAAUGGAGUUUCUGUAACUUAGCUGAUAUAUGAUCAAAUUUUCGUGUUUUAGUUAUAAGACGUGCAGCAUUGUUUUGCGCUAUUUGUAGCCUGUUUAAAGCUGUUUCUGGUGCUCCUAAUAGAAGAGAAUUUGCAUAGUCCAUAUGCGAUGUUACUAAUGUAUCUUUAAUAUGUUCAAAUUAAUACGAAACAAUUAGAAGAUAAUUAAAUGGUCCCUAACACCUACUCUGUUAUUACUAUAAUAAUACCGUAAAAAGUAUAAAUAAUACAUGUAUUGAUAUAUUACCCUGUUUGUAUAUUGAUAUUUUCCAUCAUCUUUAUAUAUUAGUGCUAUGCUUAAUAGCUACUACCCAUGGCUAUUUAUUCCAUUCAGCUUAUUUAUCCAUCAUUUCCACCCCCGCACUUCGUAUCCUGUGAUUAUUUGCUAUACUCUGCAUAAAUAAAAGACCCGUAGCAAUAAAAUGAACUAUUAUAGCGUUUUUCUAGUGGAGUGAAUGUUUCAAACAUGUAUGGUUUAAUAAGUAUGUGUUGAAAUUACAUAG
Long non-coding RNA from Patella vulgata (common limpet), 2498 nucleotides. RefSeq lists it as uncharacterized. The record is from RefSeq and is a predicted model, not a curated record. Lineage: Eukaryota; Metazoa; Mollusca; Gastropoda; Patellidae. The transcript has 4 exons.